UCUCCUCUGAGCCGACCAGUAGAAAAUAAACCUUCUGCCUUCCAAGAUCUCCGAGUGCCCCUUGGUUCUUCUGCCAAGUGAUCCAGACCAGUUUACGUAACAUUCGGUUCCCUGACCGGGAAACCCAACUGUGUUGGCCCAUUGUUGCCACCGGUUUGGGAAACCGGCAAGGCGGUGACAAGAUGAGGAAUCGCAACGGAGAAGGCUAGCCCUGCCUGAAUUUUGGCAGUCUCCCACUCGGUUGCCUCACGCCAGCCCCGCUCCACCGUUCCUGGUGGACUCAAGGAUACUUGGCAGGAGACGGUAUCCACCCCCAACUUCUGGCUUGGCCUACCCACACGCAUUCUCCCUGGACGCCCUCACACACCCUGGUUUGGGGAGGGCCACAUCAUUCUGAAACCAAAUUGAGAAGGACCCAAUACAACACCUCUAUCACCAUCACUGGUACGCUACCAAAUACCCAAGCUGCAACAAGAGGAUAGUACUCUGAGACACUGUCUCAGAAAAGCUGCCAUGCAAACCCUCUUUCAUCAAAAGGGCUAACGGGUGCCAAUGGAGACACACACUGCCAGAGUUCUUCAUCACACAUGAGAUUUGGAGAAAGCUGAGAAUGAAGUACCCAGCGCACUCUAUCAACCAGGUUGUAUCCGGAAUAAGAAAGGCCUGUGGGCUUAGGUCAAGGGAGCUCUCUGAAGGACUACAACUGAGAGCCCUGGGAACAAGAAGCCUGAAUUCAUUCUUUAGAAGCCAGUGAUUUCUGGAUUGGUCUAUCCCUGCCACUUUUCCCAUCAGUUGAAGGAGGCAGCAGUGUUGGAGCUGGAGCUACUGGGAUCUGAUGGCUCUGGCUCAGGAAUCUGCAACAAGGACUUGGUUCUCUCAUUCCUGGCAAGGGCUCUUCCAAUGCUGACCCCCUCCUGGUUCACACAGCCCAUAUGCAAACUGCCUGCUUCUCAGAAUGAAGGCAACUCAGUCAUCCGGGUCAGUGAGGCAAGCUGGCUCCCCUUCACCUUCCAUAGCACAGCAGGCCAAGCACCAAGUUGCCAGGGGCUAAAGGCCUUCUUCCCUUUGGUAUAACAGAGCCUGAUAGCCAUCACUAGCACAGGAGCAAAGGGGGAGUUUGCGGCCUACUCAGGGGCGCCAGCUGAGUGAAUGAUGGCUCCUUGGCUCCUAAAGGGAAAAACAAAUGGUCAGAAACACAACAAGGGGAAGGAAAUGGGAACUAAGAAGGCCAUAGCUCAACAUUUCCAGUGGUAAUGGGGAUCCAUUUCAAAAGAGAAUGUCUUGCUUCAUUUGCCCUGGGCCCAGAAGGAGGGAGUAGCUCCCUUCCCAAAUCUCUGGCCCAGCCUACACACCAAACAUCCUCUGCUGGGAUCCUUCAAAUGUCCUCAGUCCCUGAAUGGCCGCAUACUUCUGAAACCCAGUGACUUAACAAAGAAGGAGCCCUGUGGCAAAAUUUGUCCCCCAACCACAAGGACUGGAUGAGACUCCCAGGUGGAAGGCACAGGAUAGGGCUGACUCUGAACAGAUUGUGGGAAGAACCUUGUUUGUACAAGAGAGCAAAGAUGUGUCACGGUGGAUAGGGAGGACCAGAGCUCUUUAGAACUUGGAAGGGGAAUUCUAUGGAGAAGGGAGUGCCCAGCACCAGCUCCCAGAAACGUGGCUGGCUGUGGGAAGAAGAAGAAACACCAGAGGGCUCAGGCAAAAUCGCCCUCUAGAUCCUCCAUCUGGGAGCCCUGUCACCAACAGGCCUGCCUUCUUCCUUCAGAAGGACCUAGAGAGCCCUGGAACUUUGUCUGCUUUUUUGCUUUUCCCAUGAUUGAAUGGAGUGAGCAGUGACAGUGCUGUAGCUGGGAGGUGCCCCCAGCUGUGGCUCCAAAGUGUGGAGAGGGCAUUGGUGCAUUCUACCUGUAAAGGGCUCUUUCUGUGCUGACCACCUUCUGGAGCCUACUGCUCCUGUAUGAACUGUCUGCUUUUCAGAAGGAAGGUGCCUCAAUUAGGCAGAGCAAGAAUGCGAGCUGACACCCCUCCGCAACCCCUUGCUACAAACAACCAAGCCCCAAGCUCAGGGAUAGGAGGGCUAUGCUCCUUUGAGGUAUCUGAUGCCCAUGGCUGUUACUGAGCACAGGACUGAGUGGGAACCCGACGCCCAUCCCUGGGUGUCUGCUGAGUGAAUGCCGGCUCCAUGGCUCUUAAGGGUGAAUGAAGAGGGAGUCAGAAACAGUAAGGGGUAGGGAAUAGCUGCAGCCAGGACCAAAGUGCGUUCAAUAUUUCCAUCCAAUGGGAAUGCGAUCCAUGUGCAAUGGAGAUGUUUACCUUCAUUUCCCCUAGGCCCAAAAGGAGGCCAGCCCCCACACUAAUAUGUCUGGCACAGAAUCCACAAAAACAGUUCUUGGCUGUACUCCUUAUGAUGCCCUAGGACUCUGGAUUUCCAUCUAGUCCUGAAACCAAAAUGCCAGAGCCCCUUUGGCUCCAUCUGUCCCACAAUCACAAGGGCCGGUCACCCUUGGAGAUCUGCAAGUCGGAGAUAGUACUCAGAGAGAAUGAAUUUGUAUGGAACCCGAGACGAACCUUGAUGGAUAAUAAAGCAGUGUCAUGAAACUAGA
This is a long non-coding RNA of Leopardus geoffroyi (Geoffroy's cat), 2603 nucleotides long. RefSeq lists it as uncharacterized. NCBI's taxonomy places the organism in Eukaryota, Metazoa, Chordata, Mammalia, Carnivora, Felidae. The transcript is spliced from 2 exons. The record is from RefSeq and is a predicted model, not a curated record.